ACCUGGCUGGCUCAGUGGGUAGAGCAUGAGACUCUUAAUCUCAGAGUCGUGAGUUAAAGACCCAUAUUAGAUG
Molecule: transfer RNA, 73 nt
Filed under: Felis catus (domestic cat)
Lineage: Eukaryota; Metazoa; Chordata; Mammalia; Carnivora; Felidae
Also listed under: 2 other names
Rfam family: tRNA
About the family: Transfer RNA (tRNA) molecules are approximately 80 nucleotides in length. Their secondary structure includes four short double-helical elements and three loops (D, anti-codon, and T loops).
Source: Rfam by way of RNAcentral